GCGAAUGUAGCUCAUCUGGUUAGAGCGCCGGUUUGUGGUACCGGAGGUAGCGGGUUCAAUCCCCGUCAUUCGCCCCA
RNAcentral lists this transfer RNA (77 nucleotides) under Candidatus Saccharimonadota bacterium. Its description in RNAcentral is "tRNA-His". It matches the Rfam family "tRNA". Rfam says of the family: Transfer RNA (tRNA) molecules are approximately 80 nucleotides in length. Their secondary structure includes four short double-helical elements and three loops (D, anti-codon, and T loops). RNAcentral also lists the same sequence under 1 other name. Lineage: Bacteria; Candidatus Saccharimonadota. The record is from RNAcentral.